UCAGACGAUGCGUCAUGCAUAUCAAUAAGCGGAGGAAAAGAAACUAACAAGGAUUCCCUCAGUAACGGCGAGUGAAGCGGGAAGAGCUCAAAUUUGAAAUCUUGAAAGGUCACCUUUCACGAAUUGUAGUUUAAAGGAGUGUUUUCUGUUACGAUCGUAAUAUAAGUUCUUUGGAAUAGGACAUCACAGAGGGUGAGAAUCCCGUCUAUGAUUGCGAUUUGUAGCUUUGUGAUACACUUUCAAAGAGUCGGGUUGUUUGGGAAUGCAGCCCAAAACGGGAGGUAAAUUUCUUCUAAGGCUAAAUAUUGGCGAGAGACCGAUAGCGAACAAGUACCGUGAGGGAAAGAUGAAAAGAACUUUGAAAAGAGAGUUAAAUAGUACGUGAAAUUGUCAAAAGGGAAGCGUUUAACACCAGUGUUGUUUUCUGAAAAUCAACCUCUGUUAGCUUUAUGCAUGUUUGUUUAGACCUAAUCAGCUAUCUUGCAUGUUCUAUUGUUUACAGUGGUGCACAUUUCAGUUUACAGGUCAACAUCAGUUUUUUUUACCGUAAAAAAGUUAAAGAAAGGUAGCUCAUGGCUCCGGUCGUGAGUGUUAUAGUCUUUUUCCUAUGCGGUAGGAGAGACUGAGGUCUGCAGUGUAGGCUAUUUGGCUAGAUACUCAGGUGCUAUGUGAUACCAUUUCAUAAACAACUUGUUGAUUAUGUUUUGUCUAUUGCAUACUCGCUUGUACUAUCAUACCUACGCUUAGGAUGUUGAAGACUCUACAGAGAUA
RNAcentral lists this ribosomal RNA (771 nucleotides) under uncultured Neocallimastigales. RNAcentral describes it as "partial large subunit ribosomal RNA". The stretch from base 4 to 661 matches the Rfam family "Eukaryotic large subunit ribosomal RNA", at positions 24 to 664 of the family's 3401-position model. The record is from RNAcentral. Lineage: Eukaryota; Fungi; Neocallimastigomycota; Neocallimastigomycetes; Neocallimastigales.